RNAcentral lists this ribosomal RNA (1350 nucleotides) under Enterococcus faecium EnGen0371. Its description in RNAcentral is "bacterial SSU rRNA". It matches the Rfam family "Bacterial small subunit ribosomal RNA", at positions 190 to 1528 of the family's 1533-position model. Lineage: Bacteria; Bacillati; Bacillota; Bacilli; Lactobacillales; Enterococcaceae. The record is from RNAcentral.
UGGUUUUGAUUUGAAAGGCGCUUUCGGGUGUCGCUGAUGGAUGGACCCGCGGUGCAUUAGCUAGUUGGUGAGGUAACGGCUCACCAAGGCCACGAUGCAUAGCCGACCUGAGAGGGGGAUCGGCCACAUUGGGACUGAGACACGGCCCAAACUCCUACGGGAGGCAGCAGUAGGGAAUCUUCGGCAAUGGACGAAAGUCUGACCGAGCAACGCCGCGUGAGUGAAGAAGGUUUUCGGAUCGUAAAACUCUGUUGUUAGAGAAGAACAAGGAUGAGAGUAACUGUUCAUCCCUUGACGGUAUCUAACCAGAAAGCCACGGCUAACUACGUGCCAGCAGCCGCGGUAAUACGUAGGUGGCAAGCGUUGUCCGGAUUUAUUGGGCGUAAAGCGAGCGCAGGCGGUUUCUUAAGUCUGAUGUGAAAGCCCCCGGCUCAACCGGGGAGGGUCAUUGGAAACUGGGAGACUUGAGUGCAGAAGAGGAGAGUGGAAUUCCAUGUGUAGCGGUGAAAUGCGUAGAUAUAUGGAGGAACACCAGUGGCGAAGGCGGCUCUCUGGUCUGUAACUGACGCUGAGGCUCGAAAGCGUGGGGAGCAAACAGGAUUAGAUACCCUGGUAGUCCACGCCGUAAACGAUGAGUGCUAAGUGUUGGAGGGUUUCCGCCCUUCAGUGCUGCAGCUAACGCAUUAAGCACUCCGCCUGGGGAGCACGACCGCAAGGUUGAAACUCAAAGGAAUUGACGGGGGCCCGCACAAGCGGUGGAGCAUGUGGUUUAAUUCGAAGCAACGCGAAGAACCUUACCAGGUCUUGACAUCCUUUGACCACUCUAGAGAUAGAGCUUCCCCUUCGGGGGCAAAGUGACAGGUGGUGCAUGGUUGUAGUCAGCUCGUGUCGUGAGAUGUUGGGUUAAGUCCCGCAACGAGCGCAACCCUUAUUGUUAGUUGCCAUCAUUCAGUUGGGCACUCUAGCAAGACUGCCGGUGACAAACCGGAGGAAGGUGGGGAUGACGUCAAAUCAUCAUGCCCCUUAUGACCUGGGCUACACACGUGCUACAAUGGGAAGUACAACGAGUUGCGAAGUCGCGAGGCUAAGCUAAUCUCUUAAAGCUUCUCUCAGUUCGGAUUGCAGGCUGCAACUCGCCUGCAUGAAGCCGGAAUCGCUAGUAAUCGCGGAUCAGCACGCCGCGGUGAAUACGUUCCCGGGCCUUGUACACACCGCCCGUCACACCACGAGAGUUUGUAACACCCGAAGUCGGUGAGGUAACCUUUUGGAGCCAGCCGCCUAAGGUGGGAUAGAUGAUUGGGGUGAAGUCGUAACAAGGUAGCCGUAUCGGAAGGUGCGGCUGGAUCACCU